This 274-nucleotide ribosomal RNA is filed under the name uncultured bacterium. RNAcentral describes it as "partial 16S ribosomal RNA". It matches the Rfam family "Bacterial small subunit ribosomal RNA", at positions 523 to 796 of the family's 1533-position model. The record is from RNAcentral.
AUACAGAGGGUGCGAGCGUUAAUCGGAAUCACUGGGCGUAAAGCGCGCGCAGGCGGUCUUUUAAGUUGGAUGUGAAAGCCUACGGCUCAACCGUAGAACUGCAUCCAAAACUAUUAGACUAGAGUGUGGGAGAGGAAGAUGGAAUUAGUUGUGUAGGGGUAAAAUCCGUAGAGAUAACUAGGAAUACCAAAAGCGAAGGCAAUCUUCUGGAACACUACUGACGCUGAGGCGCGAAAGCGUGGGGAGCAAACAGGAUUAGAUACCCCGGUAGUCC